RNAcentral lists this ribosomal RNA (494 nucleotides) under uncultured bacterium. Its description in RNAcentral is "partial 16S ribosomal RNA". It matches the Rfam family "Bacterial small subunit ribosomal RNA", at positions 28 to 507 of the family's 1533-position model. The record is from RNAcentral.
GACGAACGCUGGCGGCGUGCUUAACACAUGCAAGUCGAACGGUGAAGCGCCUUCCUUUUUGGUGGGUGUGGAUGAGUGGCGAAGGGGUGAGUAACACGUGAGUAUCCUGCCCCCUUCUUCUGGAUAACCGCAUGACAGUGUGGCUACUACGGGAUAUUCUGGGUCUGUCGCAUGAUGGGUCUGGGACAGAUUUUGUUUCGGUGGGGGAUGGGCUCGCGGCCUAUCAGCUUGUUGGUGGGGUGAUGGCCUACCAAGGCGGUGACGGGUAGCCGGCCUGAGAGGGUGGACGGUCACAGAGGGGCGAAGACACGGCGAAGACUACGACGGGCAGCAGCAGGGAAGAAUACGGCACGAGGGGCGGAAUGAUGAUGCAGCGACGCGGCGGGAAGGAUGGACGUCGUCGGGUUAUAAACCUCUUUCGGGAAAGAAGCAGGCCGGCCGCGUUUGUGGGUGGGUUGACGGUACCUGGACAAAAAGCGCCGGCUAACUACGUG